AUUGAACGCUGGCGGCAGGCCUAACACAUGCAAGUCGAACGGUAACAGGAAGAAGCUUGCUUCUUUGCUGACGAGUGGCGGACGGGUGAGUAAUGUCUGGGAAACUGCCUGAUGGAGGGGGAUAACUACUGGAAACGGUAGCUAAUACCGCAUAACGUCGCAAGACCAAAGAGGGGGACCUUCGGGCCUCUUGCCAUCGGAUGUGCCCAGAUGGGAUUAGCUAGUAGGUGGGGUAACGGCUCACCUUGGCGACGAUCCCUAGCUGGUCUGAGAGGAUGACCAGCCACACUGGAACUGAGACACGGUCCAGACUCCUACGGGAGGCAGCAGUGGGGAAUAUUGCACAAUGGGCGCAAGCCUGAUGCAGCCAUGCCGCGUGUAUGAAGAAGGCCUUCGGGUUGUAAAGUACUUCCAGCGGGGAGGAAGGGAGUAAAGUUAAUACCUUUGCUCAUUGACGUUACCCGCAGAAGAAGCACCGGCUAACUCCGUG
This 490-nucleotide ribosomal RNA is filed under the name uncultured bacterium. RNAcentral's name for it is "partial 16S ribosomal RNA". It matches the Rfam family "Bacterial small subunit ribosomal RNA", at positions 30 to 507 of the family's 1533-position model. The record is from RNAcentral.